This is a non-coding RNA of Punica granatum (pomegranate), 197 nucleotides long. NCBI's taxonomy places the organism in Eukaryota, Viridiplantae, Streptophyta, Magnoliopsida, Myrtales, Lythraceae. The record is from Rfam.
AUACCUUUCUCGACCUUUCGGCUAAGAUCAAGUGUAGUAUUUGUUAAUUAUCAGUUUAAUCUGGGAUACGUGGGCCAUUGACCCACAAGAUAUUUAAAUUUAUUUUUAUAGAAGAGGGCCCACAACAGUAGCUUGCUAUUGGGGUCCUCGAGCGUCGCCCAGGCGUUGCACUACAUCCCCUGCCCGGCACGCCCUAC